Molecule: ribosomal RNA, 291 nt
Filed under: uncultured Peptoniphilus sp.
Lineage: Bacteria; Bacillati; Bacillota; Tissierellia; Tissierellales; Peptoniphilaceae
Description: partial 16S ribosomal RNA
Rfam family: Bacterial small subunit ribosomal RNA
Source: RNAcentral
CCCUUACGGGUGAAGAUAAGACGGAUUAGCGGCGGACGGGUGAGUAACACGUGAGUAACCUGCCUUUUACACAGGGAUAGCCUCGGGAAACCGGGAUUAAAACCUGAUGAAACUAUCAAAUCACAUGAUUAAGAAAGUUAAAACUCCGGUGGUAAAAGAUGGACUCGCGUCCCAUUAGCUAGUUGGUGAAGGUAACGGCCCACCAAGGCAACGAUGGGUAGCCGGCCUGAGAGGGUGAACGGCCACAUUGGAACUGAGAAACGGUCCAAACUCCUACGGGAGGCAGCAGGG